RNAcentral lists this ribosomal RNA (1499 nucleotides) under Betta macrostoma (spotfin betta). RNAcentral's name for it is "partial 16S ribosomal RNA". It matches the Rfam family "Bacterial large subunit ribosomal RNA", at positions 135 to 2597 of the family's 2925-position model. Lineage: Eukaryota; Metazoa; Chordata; Actinopteri; Anabantiformes; Osphronemidae. The record is from RNAcentral.
CACUCAACAGCUAGCCUAAAAACCUAAAUUCAACAAUCAUUAUUAAUAAACCCUAAAAACUAAUUACCAAAUUAAAUAAAUCAUUUUUCCCCCUAAGUAUGGGAGACAGAAAAGGAUACACUUAGCGCCACAUAGAAUAGUACCGCAAGGGAACGCUGAAAAAGAAAUGAAACAACCAAAUAAGUAUAAAAAAGCAGAGAUUAACACUCGUACCUUUUGCAUCAUGAUUUAGCUAGAAAAAAUUAAGCAAAAAGAAUUUAGUUUAAUUCCCCGAAACUGGGUGAGCUACUUCAAGGCAGUCUAAAAAUCAGGACUAACCCGUCUCUGUGGCAAAAGAGUGGGAAGAACUUAGAGUAGAGGUGACAGACCUAUCGAACUCAGUGAUAGCUGGUUGCCUGCGAAAUGAAUAGAAGUUCAGCUUUUUAUGUUUCUCAACCUUCACCACUCAUAAUAAAAGAUGAAAAGAAACUAAUAAAGUUAAUUAAAUGGGGUACAGCCCGUUUAAACAAGACACAACUUCACCAGUAGGGUAAAGAUCAUAACUAUUAAGGUAAUGUAUUUCAGUAGGCCUAGAAGCAGCCAUCUACAGAAAGCGUUAAAGCUCAAACACAAUUACUCCCUUUAAUCAAGACAAUAUCAUCCAAACCCACUAAUUUUAUCAGGCCGCCCCAUACUACUAUGGGGGCGAUAAUGCUAAUAUGAGUAAUAAGAAAACUAGAUUUUCUCCACGCAUUCGUGUAAAUCGGAACGGACACUCCACCGAACAUUAUCGGCUCCAAAAAAAGAGGAAAAUGGGCCAAAACCCAAACAACAAGAAAAACACCCAAAAAACAACCGUUAAUCUUACACAAGCAUGCCUACAAGGAAAGACUAAAAGAAAGAGAAGGAACUCGGCAAACACAAACCCCGCCUGUUUACCAAAAACAUCGCCUCUUGCUAACCAAGAAUAAGAGGUCCUGCCUGCCCUGUGACAAUUGUUUAACGGCCGCGGUACCCUAACCGUGCAAAGGUAGCGCAAUCACUUGUCUUUUAAAUGAAGACCCGUAUGAAUGGCACAACGAGGGUUUAACUGUCUCCUUUUUCCAGUCAAUGAAAUUGAUCCCCCCGUGCAGAAGCGGGGAUACUACCAUAAGACGAGAAGACCCUGUGGAGCUUCAGACACGAAAGCAGACCUUGUUAAAUACUUUAAAACAAAAGAAAAACAUAAAAGGAACCCUGCCCUAAUGUCUUUGGUUGGGGCGACCACGGGGUAAUAAAGAACCCCCAUGUGGAUUGAGAAGGUACUUCUUAAAACUAAGAACUGCCGUUCUAACUAACAGAACUUCUGACCUAUAGAUCCGGCAAUGCCGAUCAACGGACCGAGUUACCCCAGGGAUAACAGCGCAAUCCUCUUUUAGAGUUCAUAUCGACAAGAGGGUUUACGACCUCGAUGUUGGAUCAGGACAUCCUAAUGGUGCAGCAGCUAUUAAGGGUUCGUUUGUUCAACGAUUAACAGUCCU